RNAcentral lists this ribosomal RNA (391 nucleotides) under uncultured bacterium. RNAcentral's name for it is "bacterial SSU rRNA". It matches the Rfam family "Bacterial small subunit ribosomal RNA", at positions 29 to 425 of the family's 1533-position model. The record is from RNAcentral.
AUUGAACGCUGGCGGAAUGCUUUACACAUGCAAGUCGAGCGGCAGCGCGGGGCAACCUGGCGGCGAGCGGCGAACGGGUGAGUAAUGCAUCGGAACGUACCCCGUCGUGGGGGAUAACUACCCGAAAGGGUAGCUAAUACCGCAUACGACCUGAGGGUGAAAGCGGGGGACCGAAAGGCCUCGCGCGAUGGGAGCGGCCGAUGCCGGAUUAGCUAGUUGGUAGGGUAAAGGCCUACCAAGGCGACGAUCCGUAGCUGGUCUGAGAGGACGACCAGCCACACUGGAACUGAGACACGGUCCAGACUCCUACGGGAGGCAGCAGUGGGGAACUUUGGACAAUGGGCGAAAGCCUGAUCCAGCCAUUCCGCGUGAGUGAAGAAGGCCUCGGUUG